UGGCCAGCAUCAUCCUCCUUGUUCUGAUUCUAAUUUCCCCAAUUUUAAAACCGUAACACUCUCAUCCUUGCUCAGAUUCUAUUUCAUUCCUCCACCAUCCCUUUUGGCUCCCAUUUUCUGCUACAAUUAGGUCAAGUAUUUACGUUGGUGCUGCCUUGGGGCUGUUGAAGCUACGGCUGGUUCUGUAGUAGGUUGUUGCUGCCACCAAUGCUGGUUUAGGUAGAAUGAUGAGGCUGCAAUGUUGAGGGUGCAGUCCAGCCUGCUGUCUCACCAUAAUUCUGCCUUCGGUUUCUUUUAAUUGCGACAUCGAGGUAGGGGGUUUAACUUAAACGGUUUUAAUUUAAGAAUGCCCACAAAGUUUAUUGAAUAAUUGCAAAUAGGUUUAA
This is a non-coding RNA of Arachis ipaensis, 386 nucleotides long. NCBI's taxonomy places the organism in Eukaryota, Viridiplantae, Streptophyta, Magnoliopsida, Fabales, Fabaceae. The record is from RefSeq and is a predicted model, not a curated record.